CCAAUAGCGUAUAUUAAAGUUGCUGCGGUUAAAAAGCUCGUAGUUGAAUUUCGGAAUUGAUGCAUCGGUCGUGCCUUAAGGGGCAUGAACUGGUGUAGCUAAUUUCUCACCUUCUGGUGAAUUGUGAUGUUCUUAAUAGGUGUCUCAAUGAACUAGAAUUUUUUACUUUGAAAAAAUUAGAGUGUUUAAAGCAGGCAUGGAUUUGCUUGAAUACAUUAGCAUGGAAUAAUGAAAUAGGACAGUGGUCCCGUUUUGUUGGUUUCUAGGAUCACGUAAUGAUUAAUAGGGACAGUUGGGGGCAUUAGUAUUCAAUUGUCAGAGGUGAAAUUCUUGGAUUUAUUGAAGACUAACUAUUGCGAAAGCAUUUUCCAAGGAUGUUUUCAUUAAUCAAGAACGAAAGUUAGGGGAUCAAAGACGAUUAAGUACGUCGUAGUCCUAACCAUAAACUAUACCAACUAGGAAUCAGACGAUGUUAAUUUUUUAAUGACUCGUUUGGUACCUUACG
Molecule: ribosomal RNA, 505 nt
Filed under: uncultured Glomeromycotina
Lineage: Eukaryota; Fungi; Glomeromycota
Description: partial small subunit ribosomal RNA
Rfam family: Eukaryotic small subunit ribosomal RNA
Source: RNAcentral